RNAcentral lists this ribosomal RNA (450 nucleotides) under uncultured bacterium. RNAcentral describes it as "partial 16S ribosomal RNA". It matches the Rfam family "Bacterial small subunit ribosomal RNA", at positions 338 to 795 of the family's 1533-position model. The record is from RNAcentral.
CCUACGGGGGGCUGCAGUCGAGAAUUUUUCACAAUGGGCGAAAGCCUGAUGGAGCGACGCCGCGUGGGGGAUGAAUGGCUUCGGCCCGUAAACCCCUGUCAUUCGCGAUCAAACCCUGCUCCCUAAUACGGGGCAGGCUGAUAGUAGCGGAAGAGGAAGGGACGGCUAACUCUGUGCCAGCAGCCGCGGUAAUACAGAGGUGCCAAGCGUUGUUCGGAUUCGCUGGGCGGCGAGGGUGCGAAGGCGACGUGAAAUACUGGAGCUUAACUCCGGAACGGCGUCGGAAACUACUCGGCUAGAGGGUUGGAGGGGGGACUGGAAUUCUCGGUGUAGCAGUGAAAUGCGUAGAUAUCGAGAGGAACACCUGUGGCGAAGGCGAGUCCCUGGACAAUACCUGACGCUGAGGCACGAAAGCUAGGGGAGCAAACAGGAUUAGAUACCCCAGUAGUC